GACGGGUGACUGUGAUUACAGCGAGCACUGGGGGAUGAAAUAGAAGCGGAGUGCGACCCAGUCAUUCUUGAUUCCUUGUGACAAUGACUGUGUCAAGAAGCAGCGAUUGUGGGUCAGAGGCUGUGGAGGUUUGAUUCAUGAUUUUUUUUAGUUUUGUAAUUUUUUUCUAAAUGUCACCGUAGCGUUAGCACGGGUAAUAUACUAGUG
RNAcentral lists this long non-coding RNA (207 nucleotides) under Sorghum bicolor (sorghum). Its description in RNAcentral is "long non-coding RNA (SBIC_LNC016602)". The record is from RNAcentral. Lineage: Eukaryota; Viridiplantae; Streptophyta; Magnoliopsida; Poales; Poaceae.